This 474-nucleotide ribosomal RNA is filed under the name uncultured bacterium. Its description in RNAcentral is "partial 16S ribosomal RNA". It matches the Rfam family "Bacterial small subunit ribosomal RNA", at positions 28 to 507 of the family's 1533-position model. The record is from RNAcentral.
GACGAACGCUGGCGGCGUGCUUAACACAUGCAAGUCGAGCGGUAAGGCUCCUUCGGGAGUACACGAGCGGCGAACGGGUGGGUAACACGUGAGUAAUCUGCCCUUCACUUCGGGAUAACCACCGGAAACGGUGGCUAAUACCGAAUACGACCAGUCUUCGCAUGAGGUGCUGGUGGAAAGUCUUUUCGGUGAAGGAUGUGCUCGCGGCCUAUCAGCUUGUUGGUGGGGUAAUGGCCUACCAAGGCUUCGACGGGUAGCCGGCCUGAGAGGGUGACCGGCCACACUGGGACUGAGACACGGCCCAGACUCCUACGGGAGGCAGCAGUGGGGAAUAUUGGACAAUGGGCGAAAGCCUGAUCCAGCAACGCCGCGUGAGGGAUGACGGCCUUCGGGUUGUAAACCUCUUUCAGUACCGACGAAGCGCCCUGUCGGGUGGUGACGGUAGGUACAGAAGAAGGACCGGCCAACUACGUG